RNAcentral lists this ribosomal RNA (292 nucleotides) under uncultured prokaryote. Its description in RNAcentral is "partial 16S ribosomal RNA". It matches the Rfam family "Bacterial small subunit ribosomal RNA", at positions 505 to 796 of the family's 1533-position model. The record is from RNAcentral.
GUGUCAGCCGCCGCGGUAAUACGGAGGGUGCGAGCGUUAAUCGGAAUUACUGGGCGUAAAGCGCAUGCAGGUGGUUUGUUAAGUCAGAUGUGAAAGCCCGGGGCUCAACCUCGGAAUUGCAUUUGAAACUGGCAGGCUAGAGUACUGUAGAGGGGGGUAGAAUUUCAGGUGUAGCGGUGAAAUGCGUAGGGAUCUGAAGGAAUACCGGUGGCGAAGGCGGCCCCCUGGACAGAUACUGACACUCAGAUGCGAAAGCGUGGGGAGCAAACAGGAUUAGAAACCCCAGUAGUCC